Molecule: long non-coding RNA, 1311 nt
Organism: Stylophora pistillata
Lineage: Eukaryota; Metazoa; Cnidaria; Anthozoa; Scleractinia; Pocilloporidae
Source: RefSeq, a predicted model, not a curated record
AAUUAAGUGGGUGUUUUCAAUACAUUCUCAGAAAUAAGAGAUCAACCAUAUGGGAAAUUUCUGUCGGUCUGAAUUUUUCUUUACUAGAAAUAAUGAAAAAUCUGAUUUUCAACCUUGAAAAUGGGGGUCAACUUAUACAUGGAUAAAUACGGUAAUUAACUCCUUCGCUAUCAGUAAUUGCAUUAAAGAUUCUGUGUUAGAAAUCACAGCACCAUAUCCCAAAAUCUAAUGUUGUCCUCAGCACAAUUUCAUUUUUUGAGCAAGGCAAAGCUAAAAAUCAAUCAAGGGCCACAAAGACAUCACAGAGACAACAUUGCUAUGUAUAAUGUUUAUGUACUCAGAUAGGUAAAAGCUACUCUAUUCGUUAAUUCAAUGUCAAUACUCACCCUCAUAGUAGCGUUAUAUUUUAGCCAACUUGGGAAAUAGCAACCAAAAAUGAACCCUUUUGGACAUCCAAACUUUUAAAUUUCAAGGGGAAGGUUCCCCAGACUUUGCCAUCCAAGUGAGAAGAAAUGGCUGCCACACUGUCAUUUUUGUCCCCCCUAGCUGCUCAAAUGUGUUCCCUCCUUUCGGCAAUCUUACCAAAGCCUCCAUAUGUGUAGUAAUAAAAGCACUGAACUGAAGAGUGCUAUCUCAGCAAGAGAUGAUGAUCGUGCACACUUUUAAUGGAGUCAUCCUAGCAGAUGUUUGGCAAGGUAUUGCAUUCUUUGCUCAAAAUCUAGUUUUACAUAGACCUGGGAAAAAAGAAUGGGGUGUAGCAGUCAUUCAGGUCAGUUAAUUGCUCCAAGCUCUAAUUUUAUACCACUGCUCAUUUGGUUAUCUUUCUUGCCAAUACUCUUUCUGGUUAUUUGGGUUUUCUUGGAAACUUAGGCUCUUGCCAUUGAGAAGAAGCAUGAUAUGUGUUUACAAAUUAAAAGCGAAGAAAAGUGAAAAAAAUAAGAGAGUAACAGGAUGGUAUCAAGACUGGUAUAAUUUUUUUUUUUUUUUUUGCUGGGGGGUAGUUUUUUAUUUUUGAAUCAGAGUUUUAGCCUAAGUAUGUCUAAGUUUCUACACUUGUUGUUUAGUCUUGUGAUUUCUUACUUUAAGAAGUGACUAAAGGUAAAAUUUUUUAAUUUUUUUUAUUACAGCCAAUUGAGUGUGUAAAUGGAAAGUAAACACAAAAUAAUGAUGAAUAGGAUUGUUGAUCAAUAUUUGCUGAGUUGGCUACCAUGGCUCAAGAUGGAGGACCACGUGAGCAUGUGAUUAACAUGGACUGGCUGAAACAAGAAAUAGUUAUGGAAGAGCAGCUGGAAAAAGGAAGAGAAAAACAAA